CCUGGCUCAGGACGAACGCUGGCGGCACGCUUAACACAUGCAAGUCGAACGAGAGAAGAGAAGCUUGCUUUUCUGAUCUAGUGACGGACGGGUGAGUAACACGUGAGCAAUCUGCCUUUCAGAGGGGGAUACCGAUUGGAAACGAUCGUUAAUACCGCAUAACAUAAUUGAACCGCAUGAUUUGAUUAUCAAAGAUUUAUCGCUGAAAGAUGAGCUCGCGUCUGAUUAGCUAGUUGGUAAGGUAACGGCUUACCAAGGCGACGAUCAGUAGCCGGACUGAGAGGUUGAUCGGCCACAUUGGGACUGAGACACGGCCCAGACUCCUACGGGAGGCAGCAGUGGGGAAUAUUGCACAAUGGAGGAAACUCUGAUGCAGCGAUGCCGCGUGAGGGAAGAAGGUUUUAGGAUUGUAAACCUCUGUCUUCAGGGACGAAAAAAGACGGUACCUGAGGAGGAAGCUCCGGCUAACUACGUGCCAGCAGCCGCGGUAAUACGUAGGGAGCGAGCGUUGUCCGGAAUUACUGGGUGUAAAGGGAGCGUAGGCGGGAUCGCAAGUCAGAUGUGAAAACUAUGGGCUUAACCCAUAAACUGCAUUUGAAACUGUGGUUCUUGAGUGAAGUAGAGGUAAGCGGAAUUCCUAGUGUAGCGGUGAAAUGCGUAGAUAUUAGGAGGAACAUCAGUGGCGAAGGCGGCUUACUGGGCUUUAACUGACGCUGAGGCUCGAAAGCGUGGGGAGCAAACAGGAUUAGAUACCCUGGUAGUCCACGCCGUAAACGAUGAUUACUAGGUGUGGGGGGACUGACCCCUUCCGUGCCGCAGCAAACGCAAUAAGUAAUCCACCUGGGGAGUACGACCGCAAGGUUGAAACUCAAAGGAAUUGACGGGGGCCCGCACAAGCAGUGGAGUAUGUGGAUUAAUUCGAAGCAACGCGAAGAACCUUACCAGGUCUUGACAUCGUAUGCAUAGCUCAGAGAUGAGUGAAAUCUCUUCGGAGACAUAUAGACAGGUGGUGCAUGGUUGUCGUCAGCUCGUGUCGUGAGAUGUUGGGUUAAGUCCCGCAACGAGCGCAACCCUUACUGUUAGUUGCUACGCAAGAGCACUCUAGCAGGACUGCCGUUGACAAAACGGAGGAAGGUGGGGAUGACGUCAAAUCAUCAUGCCCUUUAUGACCUGGGCCUCACACGUACUACAAUGGCUGUCAACAGAGGGAAGCAAAGCCGCGAGGUGGAGCAAACCCCUAAAAGCAGUCUUAGUUCGGAUUGUAGGCUGCAACCCGCCUACAUGAAGUCGGAAUUGCUAGUAAUCGCAGAUCAGCAUGCUGCGGUGAAUACGUUCCCGGGCCU
This 1343-nucleotide ribosomal RNA is filed under the name uncultured bacterium. RNAcentral's name for it is "bacterial SSU rRNA". It matches the Rfam family "Bacterial small subunit ribosomal RNA", at positions 18 to 1381 of the family's 1533-position model. The record is from RNAcentral.